Molecule: ribosomal RNA, 725 nt
Filed under: Thalassospira sp.
Lineage: Bacteria; Pseudomonadati; Pseudomonadota; Alphaproteobacteria; Rhodospirillales; Thalassospiraceae
Description: bacterial SSU rRNA
Rfam family: Bacterial small subunit ribosomal RNA
Source: RNAcentral
GUGCAAUGGCGGCAGCUACCAUGCAGUCGUACGAGAAGGUUCCUUCGGGAACUGGAGAGUGGCGCACGGGUGAGUAACGCGUGGGGACCUACCUCUUAGUGGGGGAUAACGGUUGGAAACGACCGCUAAUACCGCAUACGCCCUUCGGGGGAAAGAUUUAUCGCUAAGAGAUGGACCCGCGUUGGAUUAGAUAGUUGGUGAGGUAACGGCUCACCAAGUCAGCGAUCCAUAGCUGGUUUGAGAGGAUGAUCAGCCACACUGGGACUGAGACACGGCCCAGACUCCUACGGGAGGCAGCAGUGGGGAAUAUUGGACAAUGGGCGCAAGCCUGAUCCAGCCAUGCCGCGUGAGUGAAGAAGGCCUUCGGGUUGUAAAGCUCUUUCAGAUGCGAAGAUGAUGACGGUAACAUCAGAAGAAGCCCCGGCUAAUUUCGUGCCAGCAGCCGCGGUAAUACGAAAGGGGCAAGCGUUGUUCGGAUUUACUGGGCGUAAAGGGCACGCAGGCGGUCCUGCCAGUCAGGGGUGAAAGCCCGGGGCUCAACCCCGGAACUGCCUCUGAUACUGCAGGACUAGAGACUAGGAGAGGGUGGUGGAAUUCCCAGUGUAGAGGUGAAAUUCGUAGAUAUUGGGAGGAACACCAGAGGCGAAGGCGGCCACCUGGACUAGAUCUGACGCUCAGGUGCGAAAGCGUGGGGAGCAAACAGGAUUAGAUAUCUGGGGUAGUCA